Molecule: ribosomal RNA, 362 nt
Filed under: uncultured Gammaproteobacteria bacterium
Lineage: Bacteria; Pseudomonadati; Pseudomonadota; Gammaproteobacteria
Description: bacterial SSU rRNA
Rfam family: Bacterial small subunit ribosomal RNA
Source: RNAcentral
GGGGGACAACUCGGGGAAACUCGAGCUAAUACCGCAUAAGCCCUACGGGGGAAAGCGGGGGACCUUCGGGCCUCGUGCUAUUAGAUGAGCCUGCGUUGGAUUAGCUAGUUGGUGGGGUAAAGGCCUACCAAGGCGACGAUCCAUAGCUGGUCUGAGAGGAUGAUCAGCCACACCGGGACUGAGACACGGCCCGGACUCCUACGGGAGGCAGCAGUGGGGAAUAUUGCGCAAUGGGCGAAAGCCUGACGCAGCCAUGCCGCGUGUGUGAAGAAGGCCUUCGGGUUGUAAAGCACUUUCAAUUGGGAGGAAAGGUUCACGGUUAAUAACCGUGAGCUGUGACGUUACCUUAGAAGAAGCACCGG